GAGGAAAAGAAACCAACAGGGAUUGCCUUAGUAGCGGCGAGUGAAGCGGCAAAAGCUCAAAUUUGAAAUCUGGCACCUUCGGUGUCCGAGUUGUAAUUUGAAGAUUGUAACCUUGGGGUUGGCUCUUGUCUAUGUUUCUUGGAACAGGACGUCACAGAGGGUGAGAAUCCCGUGCGAUGAGAUGCCCAAUCCUAUGUAAGGUGCUUUCGAAGAGUCGAGUUGUUUGGGAAUGCAGCUCUAAGUGGGUGGUAAAUUCCAUCUAAAGCUAAAUAUUGGCGAGAGACCGAUAGCGAACAAGUACAGUGAUGGAAAGAUGAAAAGAACUUUGAAAAGAGAGUGAAAAAGUACGUGAAAUUGUUGAAAGGGAAGGGUUUGAGAUCAGACUCGAUAUUUUGUGAGCCUUGCCUUCGUGGCGGGGUGACCCGCAGCUUAUCGGGCCAGCAUCGGUUUGGGCGGUAGGAUAAUGGCGUAGGAAUGUGACUUUGCUUCGGUGAAGUGUUAUAGCCUGCGUUGAUGCUGCCUGCCUAGACCGAGGACUGCGAUUUUAUCAAGGAUGCUGGCAUAAUGAUCCCAAACCGCCCGUCUGAAA
Molecule: ribosomal RNA, 589 nt
Filed under: Meyerozyma guilliermondii
Lineage: Eukaryota; Fungi; Ascomycota; Pichiomycetes; Serinales; Debaryomycetaceae
Description: eukaryotic LSU rRNA
Rfam family: Eukaryotic large subunit ribosomal RNA
Source: RNAcentral